UGGGGAAUAUUGCACAAUGGGCGCAAGCCUGAUGCAGCCAUGCCGCGUGUGUGAAGAAGGCCUUCGGGUUGUAAAGCACUUUCAGUCAGGAGGAAAGGUUAGUAGUUAAUACCUGCUAGCUGUGACGUUACUGACAGAAGAAGCACCGGCUAACUCCGUGCCAGCAGCCGCGGUAAUACGGAGGGUGCGAGCGUUAAUCGGAAUUACUGGGCGUAAAGCGUACGCAGGCGGUUUGUUAAGCGAGAUGUGAAAGCCCCGGGCUCAACCUGGGAACUGCAUUUCGAACUGGCAAACUAGAGUGUGAUAGAGGGUGGUAGAAUUUCAGGUGUAGCGGUGAAAUGCGUAGAGAUCUGAAGGAAUACCGAUGGCGAAGGCAGCCACCUGGGUCAACACUGACGCUCAUGUACGAAAGCGUGGGGAGCAAACG
Molecule: ribosomal RNA, 427 nt
Filed under: uncultured bacterium
Lineage: Bacteria
Also listed under: 1 other name
Description: partial 16S ribosomal RNA
Rfam family: Bacterial small subunit ribosomal RNA
Source: RNAcentral